GUACUUUCUGGUGACCCAGAACCAACAGGGAAAUAGGUAACUGAUUAACCUGGGGAGCUGUUCCCACGUCCUGUGUUUGGAAGAAAGAAACUAUUUUAAAAGUUAGAAACGAGUUGGAACAAUGUUGCAUUUAAGCUAAACUCAAGCAAGAGAUAUUUCUUGAGUGUAGAUUUCACACUAAGUUAUUCAUUUUGCUUUUGACAGUUAUGUUGAAUUAUAUUAGCUUUAUGGUAAUUUUGAGAAUAAAGGGUUUUGCUUGAUGAAUGAGCCCAAAUCUCAGUCCCACAGGUCAGGGAGGAGCGUGGACAGAGCACAGAGCACAGGCUGGGACUGGCUUUGGGAAGAGUCACUGGGGCAGUGGACACACUGGAGAGAGGGGUUCUUUCUGUGUGAGGUUGAGGGGAGCCUGGAGCUGAACGGGAAGAACUGGAAGAACUGGAAGGAGAAGCAGAAGGAACUUUGAUCCAUAGCAGAAACCUAGUGGUAUGGAUGCACCUUCCAGUAAGAGACCACUGGAGCUCCCACUAAGAAAAGUUUACAAACAAUUCAGCUGGAAGCAUGACUAGGGGAAGGACGUUACUCAGAGUACUAAGGGGGAAUUUCUACAGCAGUCCUCAAACCCAGCAAAUUCCACACAACUGCACCACUCCUCCUUCAGAGCAAGGCAGAGACAAAAGUGUAGGAAGUUUCCAUCCUGCCACCCUCGGAGGAGUGAAAUGAGCUCCCUCCGCCAGAGGAAUAAAUGCUUUGUCUGUGUCUCUCCCAGGUUCCUGCCUCUGGGUGGAAUCCACUGCAGCCCUUGCUUGAGUGGGUAGGAGAAAAAUGGGGGGAAGAGAGAAAGGGGGGGAUGGGACAGAGUGAGACAGGAAGGGCAGACGGGAAUGGCCAGAGGGAGAGCUUCCAAUUCAUGGGCUGGUUGCCCAGAUAGGUACUUGGACCCAGCUUCUCUGCUUCCCCCUGAGUGUGGAGAUUAUGCCGGAGCGAGACAGGGCUCAUGACUGGAAAGGGGACUGGGCUUCGGAAGGCGAGAAGUAAGGUUGGAAGUUUGGGCAGAGGGUGCACUGUUUAUAAUGGCGAAGGAGAUUCAGAAGUUUUGUUGAAAACAGAAAAGACUCGCUGGGGCCUCAUGGGUCUGAGAAGCAGUUUCACGGUAUUUGUGAAGAGGAAGCUGUUUCUUCCAGUCAGAAUCUCUGGAGGCCGGUUUCCCGACCAAUCAAAAGACGGUUCCAAAGAAACAGUGUUACGCUUGGUCCCCUACCCUGCGCUUGGGGCGAGAGGGCAGAGGGGCGCCUUCAGCGGAGUUGCCGCAGGCCUUUCUGGACUAUCCUCUGUUGGCGUUAAAAUUAGCCUUGAACC
Molecule: long non-coding RNA, 1356 nt
Filed under: Equus caballus (horse)
Lineage: Eukaryota; Metazoa; Chordata; Mammalia; Perissodactyla; Equidae
Description: lncRNA (ENSECAG00000053710.1)
Source: RNAcentral